AGCAAGGGGUGGCGGGGGGGAGCCAAGCUCCCUAGCUCGGGUAACGCCUGUACCCAAACUUCCCAGUGAUUCAAGUGGGGGCAGGUCCGCUAUCAGAAGGGUAGAGAGGAUUAGGCUCAAAAUGGGACCGACUUUGUUCUUACUGAAAUAAUAACAGAGGUCCUGGUUUCAGUGUGCUAGUACUCUCCAGGAGAGCAAAGCUAACUGCUAGUGGUGUAAUGCGACCAUUGCUACCUUAAUUCCAGAGCAACAACGUCUCCAACCACAAGGGGCAUCGGUAUCUGCUGCCUGUCAAAACUGGCGCUUUUUUCAUCCUGAGACUAUCAACUCCAUCUGUCACAGAAAUUGGGACAAAAUCUAUUUUCCAGAAACUCGGGGAUCUUGGAAUUCCAUGUGGUGUGGAAUCAUGUCUGUCUCAAAGUGCGUAGACUGUGGAAUGGUGGUGUGGUGUGGCUGGGAGUCAGUAUGAUUGAUGGGUUGAGAAGCAUUCUUAAGGGCUUGCCCCAUUGUUAUCAGUUUUACAAGCUGCUUGUGUUUUUCCUUCAGUAUAGUUUUUCCUAUUCUUGUGUAAAAGCUGUGUUUUUAAAUCUGCAAAAGCUGUGUUUAGAAACGCUGCCUCCAUCCAGCUAGUUUAGAGCUGUUUCUUUUAAUUCUUGUUGAAUAGUGGUAUUAAAAAUGCCAGAUGCCAUUCAGGCAGGUUGUAGUGAAUGUGCAUUGCUAUCUUCACUGGGAUCGCUCAUGCAUUACUUUGUUGCCCUAUUACCGGGUCACACCGCUGUUUUUGGUGGAAAUCGGCUAGUUUGGGGUGUCUCGAUUGGAGAUGACAUUGCAGGUGCUGUUCAGCAUACUGCUGCACUGGCUGGUUCCUAGGGAAAAUGUCGCACGGUGCCAUUGGAGGGAAGAGGGCCUGGAUGCCAGGAUGUUCCAGAUAUAAGAGAGUCUGAGAGAGGGGGUUGCAAUGGAGCAGGAUCAUGGCUUGGGGCCUCCUGAGCUUCCUGAGCGCGGGAGAGAGCAGUCCCAGUGGGGCUGCCUUCUACAGACAGCUGGAUGGUGAUCUCUGCCCCCUCCCAGCUCCUGCCUUCCUUCGCAAAAUCCGUCCAGCUCGGCUGUGCUUCAUUUCUGGAGCAGAAAGCAGGCUGUACUCUGUGGGGGAAGGCAGCAGCUGAACUUCGGGCCUCCCAGGAGGGGGAGUAGAGGAGCCUUCACUGCCGGCCUUGCAUCCUUGUGUGUCUGGGAAGAGCCUGCUGUGGUGCUGCCGGAGCAGGAGGAGGACCAGUGCCUGGUCCCACUAGGGCUGGUGGACUUCCCUGGCUGCACUGUUGAACGGCAGGGCAUGGCAUGAAACAUCACAUUAUUCAGAGGCAGAAAUUUUCACAUACAGCUUUUUGUUAAAUAAGUGGAUAUUUUAUGCAGUGAUAAUAAUAAUGGAAAUGUAGACUUUGAAGUUUGGAAUUAUCUUUGGUAUCAUACAAAUGACAAAAUUUUUUACAGAAAAUAGGUGGAUUCUUCAAUUACCACACCUUUUAGCCGUCUAGAAUAUGAUCAUCUACAUUCAGGAUUAUGUAUUGCCAAUAAAUUGACUUCUUAAAAUGGUUUAAACA
Long non-coding RNA from Ficedula albicollis (Collared flycatcher), 1601 nucleotides. RefSeq lists it as uncharacterized. The transcript has 2 exons. The record is from RefSeq and is a predicted model, not a curated record. Lineage: Eukaryota; Metazoa; Chordata; Aves; Passeriformes; Muscicapidae.